UACGGAGGAUGCAAGCGUUAUCCGGAAUGAUUGGGCGUAAAGCGUCCGCAGGUGGCUGUGUAAGUCUCCUGUCAAAGAGCGAAGCUCAACUUCGUAAAGGCAGUGGAAACUACACGGCUAGAGUGCGUUCGGGGCAGAGGGAAUUCCUGGUGUAGCGGUGAAAUGCGUAGAGAUCAGGAAGAACACCGGUGGCGAAGGCGCUCUGCUAGGCCGCAACUGACACUGAGGGACGAAAGCUAGGGGAGCGAAUGGG
RNAcentral lists this ribosomal RNA (253 nucleotides) under uncultured bacterium. Its description in RNAcentral is "partial 16S ribosomal RNA". It matches the Rfam family "Bacterial small subunit ribosomal RNA", at positions 524 to 776 of the family's 1533-position model. The record is from RNAcentral.